GACGUAGGGCGCGAGCGUUGUCCGGAUUUAUUGGGCGUAAAGAGCUCGUAGGUGGUUUGUCGCGUUGUUCGUGAAAACUCACAGCUUAACUGUGGGCGUGCGGGCGAUACGGGCAGACUGGAGUACUGCAGGGGAGACUGGAAUUCCUGGUGUAGCGGUGGAAUGCGCAGAUAUCAGGAGGAACACCGGUGGCGAAGGCGGGUCUCUGGGCCGAUACUGACGCUGAGGAGCGAAAGCGUGGGGAGCGAACAGG
Molecule: ribosomal RNA, 253 nt
Filed under: uncultured bacterium
Lineage: Bacteria
Description: partial 16S ribosomal RNA
Rfam family: Bacterial small subunit ribosomal RNA
Source: RNAcentral